AUUGAACGCUGGCGGCAUGCCUUACACAUGCAAGUCGAACGGCAGCACGGGAGCUUGCUCCUGGUGGCGAGUGGCGAACGGGUGAGUAAUACAUCGGAACGUACCCUGAAGUGGGGGAUAACGUAGCGAAAGUUACGCUAAUACCGCAUAUUCUGUGAGCAGGAAAGAGGGGGAUCGCAAGACCUCUUGCUUUAGGAGCGGCCGAUGUCGGAUUAGCUAGUUGGUGAGGUAAAGGCUCACCAAGGCGACGAUCCGUAGCGGGUCUGAGAGGAUGAUCCGCCACACUGGGACUGAGACACGGCCCAGACUCCUACGGGAGGCAGCAGUGGGGAAUUUUGGACAAUGGGCGCAAGCCUGAUCCAGCCAUGCCGCGUGAGUGAAGAAGGCCUCGGUGU
RNAcentral lists this ribosomal RNA (395 nucleotides) under uncultured bacterium. Its description in RNAcentral is "bacterial SSU rRNA". It matches the Rfam family "Bacterial small subunit ribosomal RNA", at positions 30 to 423 of the family's 1533-position model. The record is from RNAcentral.